CCACCGAAUGCCUAAGGUUUCCUGAGGAAGGCUCGUCCGCUCAGGGUUAGUCGGGACCUAAGCCGAGGCCGAAAGGCGUAGGCGAUGGACAACAGGUUGAUAUUCCUGUACCACCUCCUCACCAUUUGAGCAAUGGGGGGACGCAGGAGGAUAGGGUAAGCGCGGUAUUGGAUAUCCGCGUCCAAGCAGUUAGGCUGGGAAAUAGGCAAAUCCGUUUCCCAUAAGGCUGAGCUGUGAUGGCGAGCGAAAUAUAGUAGCGAAGUUCCUGAUUCCACACUGCCAAGAAAAGCCUCUAGCGAGGUGAGAGGUGCCCGUACCGCAAACCGACACAGGUAGGCGAGGAGAGAAUCCUAAGGUGAUCGAGAGAACUCUCGUUAAGGAACUCGGCAAAAUGACCCCGUAACUUCGGGAGAAGGGGUGCUCUGUUAGGGUGCAAGCCCGAGAGAGCCGCAGUGAAUAGGCCCAGGCGACUGUUUAGCAAAAACACAGGUCUCUGCGAAGCCGUAAGGCGAAGUAUAGGGGCUGACGCCUGCCCGGUGCUGGAAGGUUAAGAGGAGCGCUUAGCGUAAGCGAAGGUGCGAAUUGAAGCCCCAGUAA
RNAcentral lists this ribosomal RNA (597 nucleotides) under Bacillus subtilis. Its description in RNAcentral is "bacterial LSU rRNA". It matches the Rfam family "Bacterial large subunit ribosomal RNA", at positions 1334 to 1926 of the family's 2925-position model. The record is from RNAcentral. Lineage: Bacteria; Bacillati; Bacillota; Bacilli; Caryophanales; Bacillaceae.